AUGCUUGUGCGGCUUCGAAUUGACUUUAUUUAGUAGAUACUGAGAUUUCUUGUAUAUAAAUAAAUAUCUUUUGCUGUGGUCCGAUGCAUGGUUUCUACAUUUGACACUGGAGAUGGCCAUAUUCCGUUGUGCUUAGAUAGAUCAUGGGAUUGUCCCUCAAGAUUUGUGCUUGAUAAUCAAAUAGAAAUUUGAGGCAUGCAUGAAAAGCAGUCGGAUGAGUAAAAUAUUGUCUCAUAUGAAAAGCGCUUCAAAUGGCUCUUCUCAGUGACUGCUGAUGAGGGACUGGCUCAGCCUUAUUGUCAAUUCAACAAUGAUAGUAUAAAUGAGCUCUUCACAGGGCUUUUAUUUCUA
Ananas comosus (pineapple) is the source of this 351-nucleotide long non-coding RNA. RefSeq lists it as uncharacterized. The record is from RefSeq and is a predicted model, not a curated record. The transcript has 2 exons. NCBI's taxonomy places the organism in Eukaryota, Viridiplantae, Streptophyta, Magnoliopsida, Poales, Bromeliaceae.